UGGGGAAUAUUGCACAAUGGGCGCAAGCCUGAUGCAGCCAUGCCGCGUGUAUGAAGAAGGCCUUCGGGUUGUAAAGUACUUUCAGCGGGGAGGAAGGCGAUAAGGUUAAUAACCUUGUCGAUUGACGUUACCCGCAGAAGAAGCACCGGCUAACUCCGUGCCAGCAGCCGCGGUAAUACGGAGGGGGCAAGCGUUAAUCGGAAUGACUGGGCGUAAAGCGCACGCAGGCGGUCUGUCAAGUCGGAUGUGAAAUCCCCGGGCUCAACCUGGGAACUGCAUUCGAAACUGGCAGGCUAGAGUCUUGUAGAGGGGGGUAGAAUUCCAGGUGUAGCGGUGAAAUGCGUAGAGAUCUGGAGGAAUACCGGUGGCGAAGGCGGCCCCCUGGACAAAGACUGACGCUCAGGUGCGAAAGCGUGGGGAGCAAACA
This 427-nucleotide ribosomal RNA is filed under the name uncultured bacterium. Its description in RNAcentral is "partial 16S ribosomal RNA". It matches the Rfam family "Bacterial small subunit ribosomal RNA", at positions 355 to 774 of the family's 1533-position model. The record is from RNAcentral.